UACGUAGGGGGCAAGCGUUGUCCGGAUUUAUUGGGCGUAAAGAGCGUGUAGGCGGCUUUACAGGUCCGUUGUGAAAACUCGAGGCUCAACCUCGAGACGCCGGUGGAAACCGUAAAGCUAGAGUCCGGAAGAGGAGAGUGGAAUUCCUGGUGUAGCGGUGAAAUGCGCAGAUAUCAGGAGGAACACCGGUGGCGAAGGCGGGUCUCUGGGCCGUUACUGACGCUGAGGAGCGAAAGCGUGGGGAGCGAACAGG
Molecule: ribosomal RNA, 253 nt
Filed under: uncultured bacterium
Lineage: Bacteria
Description: partial 16S ribosomal RNA
Rfam family: Bacterial small subunit ribosomal RNA
Source: RNAcentral